GAUAAGAACGUAGCGAAAUGCGAUAAGUAAUGUGAAUUGCAGAAUUCAGUGAAUCAUCGAAUCUUUGAACGCACAUUGCGCCCAUUAGUAUUCUAGUGGGCAUGCCUGUUCGAGCGUCAUUUCAACCCUUAAGCCUAGCUUAGUGUUGGGAGACUGCCUAAUACGCAGCUCCUCAAAACCAGUGGCGGAGUCUGUUCGUGCUCUGAGCGUAGUAAUUUUUUAUCUCGCUUCUGCAAGCCGGCCAGACGACAGCCAUAAACCGCACCCUCUCGGGGGGCACUUUUUUAAUGGUUGACCUCGGAUCAGGUAGGAAUACCCGCUGAACUUAAGCAUAUCAAUAAGCGGAGGA
RNAcentral lists this unclassified non-coding RNA (349 nucleotides) under soil metagenome. Its description in RNAcentral is "partial contains 5.8S ribosomal RNA, internal transcribed spacer 2, and large subunit ribosomal RNA". The stretch from base 4 to 119 matches the Rfam family "5.8S ribosomal RNA", at positions 39 to 154 of the family's 154-position model. The record is from RNAcentral.